AACAAUCCAAACUUGGCCAUAUCAUUUGCUUACACAAUUCCCGGUCUAUCAUACAUAAACAGAAAGAUUAGCAUCUCCUACCACAAAAGUUGAAUCUAGAACAAUUUUAUCCCACCUUUAUAUUAUUAUUAUUCUAAAAAAAGGCAAUGUGUGACUGUCCAACGAAGAAUAAAUAUGAUAAGCAGUAAGUGAUAAAGCAUAUUUUAGUCCACUUUCUGAUUAUCUUAUUGAUAUUUAUUUACAUCUUUUGUGCCUAAUUUUGUAGUUUUAAUCAUGUUUUGCAGAUAUUAGGUGUAAAGAGACAUUCUGAAGAAAAUGCUCUUAAAACUGUCAAAAAGUGCCAAAUAUGGAAAGUGCCAAAAAGGGAAAGUUUUCAAAUAUGGAAAGUGCUAAAUAAGGAAAGUUUUCUGAUAAGGAAAGUGCCAGAAAAGGAAAGCGCAAUUAACAAAUUCUUUGAAAUUCAAAUUGCAGAUUCGUCUUUCCUUAUUCAGACAGAGAAGCCAAUUAUGGAAAGUGUCAAAUAAGGAAAGUUUUCAGAAAAGCAAAGUCCUCAAAUAAGGGAAGUGCAGAAGCAAAAGCAAAUAAGGAAAGCUCAGUCAGAAGAUUAUUUGAAAUUCAAAUCGCAAAUCUUUCUUUCCUCAUUCAAAGACAUGCACACACUGCAGCAGUCAAAUCUUCCAAUUUAGGCAGCAAGAUUUCAAGGAGAUGCACUUGCCUCUUCUUCAUUCAGCAUUCAAAAUUCAAACGAAGGCUCCACCUAAAAAGGAAAGACUGGACAGAUUUCUUUCCACUUAUGCACAUUAAUGACUGCACGCUCUCCUUCCUCUUCUGCAGUCCAUGCGCACACCACUUGCCUUCUGAAGGCCAAUGCGCGCAUCCUUCCUCUUCUGAAACACCAAACGCGAUUCUUUCCUUUUCAGAUGCAACUUGGGCAGCCUCUUGGGCAGCAAGGAGACCUAGGUAACACUUUCAACUAUAAAAAGACACAUAAGGAGCCUUCACACAACUUUUACACACCACCUUGGAGACACCUACGAGAUUCACAUCACUUCUUCUACCUUUCUUCUUUUCUUUUAUUUUUGGUUUUGUUUCAGCCAUGAGAGGCUGAAACCUUUUAUUCUAGUUGAAGAUUAGGUGAUGCUUUAGUUGUUUUAUGGAUUGGGAGACUUGAUCAAACAUUGUUUAACUUUUGGUUGUUCAAUAUUCAUGCCAUUUCAUGAUUUCAAUAUUGCUUUGUUCUUUAGAUCUACGUUGAUUCUUGAUUGCAAAGUAAUAAUAUGUUAAUUUGGAUGAUUUAAGUCUGUAAUUGCUUGGAUUAUUCAAACAUAAGAACACUUGGUGUAAAAACUAAGGAAAUUGUAUGAUCUAACGACAUAUCAUGCGUUUGAGUAGUUAGGAUUGGAUCUCUCUAUCUCUUCAUGCAAUUAACAAUUGUUUUGAUGCCUAAGGCCCAAGGACGUUCCUUGGCAAUUUGUUAAUUAGUAAUUAAUUAGAGGACGUUCCCUAAUUAGUUUAAUCAUAAGGAGAGACAUGGUGGUGAGAAGAGUCUUCCAUCUCCAUAACUAAUCUAUUGAAUCAAUCAAAAGAAACUAAAUGUCAAUGAUCAAUCCCAACAACUGAAGUGGAUCCAAUUCUUCAACUAGAGCUUUCUUAUUAUUUAUUUCUCUUUUAUUUUUAUUAUUUGCUUUAUUUUUAUUGCUUUCAGUAGUUUAUUAAUCAAAUCAAUCUCAAACCCCCCCAUUUUGCUUUUACUGCAAUUUAUUUUUAUUCUGCUUUCAGUUUAUCUCGUUUUCAGUUUUAUCUCAUUUCAGUUUAUUUUGCUUUCCGUUUAUUUCUCUUUCAGUUUUAUCUCGUUAUAUCUCGUUUCAGUUUAUUUUGCUUUUAGUUUAUUCCGUUUUCAAUUUAUUAUUGUUUCAGUUUAUUUUCUUGGUCUUGAUAAGGAAAAUAGGUAAGUUCUCAAUUCCCUGUGGAUUCGAUCCUUUCACCACUAUCUACAGUUGUAAAUUGUUGAUAACCCGAAAGGUUAUUUUUGACCGGCUUCGACAACCGCGAGUCAGUAAGCUACUACAAACUCUGUCCGGAAAGCACAAUGGAUUAGCAGCUAACACAAACACGUCAAGUAGUCCUCAUGAAACAACAGAUUAGUGGACUUCUCAAAAAGUCACAUUAGGAUUUAAUGAUGAAAAAGUUGCAAACCGAAGCUUGUAGCUCCAGCUUGAUGGUUGGGAUAAAAAGCAAACAGAAGUGCUUAGGUGUUCUGUUUACAGAUGAGAACUGGAAUUAGAUAACACUAAGCACAAAUUUUAAAACAAAAUCCCAAUAGUUUAAUGAAAAUUUCCUUUUCGGUAAUAAACUAGAGACAGAAUUAAGCAAAAGAAAAACAAAAAAAGUGUGUGGCUGAAAACCCAAGAAACAAGUGUCGGCUACACUGUAAGCUUUAACGUGUAUGUUUGCCAAUUGAGAGGACAUUAAAAUGGAUCUCUAGUAUUAUCAUAACAAAUAAGAUUGGAAAUGACCACAUCAGCCAAAACAAAUGCAUGCAUGACAAAUUGAGGAUAAAGCAACAAAUGGUUGAUUAAGGUGGUUUUGUCUUGUCCACUGGGAAAUUGAACACUCCGAUAUGCAAAGUGACAAACUAGUGGUGAAAUGAUAAAGAAGAAAAAGGAGAGGCCUAAAAAUGAUGGUGAGUGAAUCAAUAUCAAAAGAUCUACAAUUUCUGGAUAGCAAUGUGGCAUUUGUUUCAAAUAAAGCUGAAAGCUGAACUAGUUUAUGAUUAAAGCUUAAUUAUUGUCAUAAUUCACUUGUGGAGAUUGGGAUUUCAAUUUUGAAGUAAUUUAGGGACAUAGAUUUAGAGUUAAUGACCAAAAUAAUCCCAUCAUUUUUCCAUUUUAGCAAUUGCACCCUAUAACCAAAAUAACCCCAUCCUUUUUCCAUUUUUGCAAUUGCAUUCUAUCUUUUUAUAUUUUACUAACUAAACCCUACACUUUUGUACUUGUUCCAAGUGCACCCCAACAUUGGAUUUUUCAUCAGAGACUAAUGGAAUUGCCACCUCAUCUGACAUGUCAUUACCACGUCAGUUAAGCUCAAAAUACAAUUAAUUAAAACUUAAAAGUUUAGAGUUUAAAGUUCAAGGUGCAAUUUUAGAUUUUUUAAAAGGUAAGGGUUUCUUAAGUUAUUUCUCCUAAAAUUAAAAUUUAUAAUAUUAAAAAAUAGUUUAUAUUAUUAUUAUAAAUAAUAAAUUUUUUAGUUUUAUCAAUGAUUUAAUAU
RNAcentral lists this long non-coding RNA (3267 nucleotides) under Manihot esculenta (cassava). Its description in RNAcentral is "long non-coding RNA (MESC_LNC001352)". Lineage: Eukaryota; Viridiplantae; Streptophyta; Magnoliopsida; Malpighiales; Euphorbiaceae. The record is from RNAcentral.